UACGAAGGGGGCUAGCGUUGCUCGGAAUUACUGGGCGUAAAGCGCACGUAGGCGGAUUGUUAAGUCAGGGGUGAAAUCCUGGAGCUCAACUCCAGAACUGCCUUUGAUACUGGCGAUCUUGAGUCCGGGAGAGGUGAGUGGAACUGCGAGUGUAGAGGUGAAAUUCGUAGAUAUUCGCAAGAACACCAGUGGCGAAGGCGGCUCACUGGCCCGGUACUGACGCUGAGGUGCGAAAGCGUGGGGAGCAAACAGG
RNAcentral lists this ribosomal RNA (253 nucleotides) under uncultured bacterium. Its description in RNAcentral is "partial 16S ribosomal RNA". It matches the Rfam family "Bacterial small subunit ribosomal RNA", at positions 524 to 776 of the family's 1533-position model. The record is from RNAcentral.